RNAcentral lists this ribosomal RNA (436 nucleotides) under Blastocystis sp. RNAcentral's name for it is "SSU rRNA". It matches the Rfam family "Eukaryotic small subunit ribosomal RNA", at positions 508 to 954 of the family's 1831-position model. The record is from RNAcentral. Lineage: Eukaryota; Bigyra; Opalinata; Blastocystidae.
AUUGGAUUGAGAACAAUGUACAACUCUUAUCGAUAAGCCAUUGGAGGGCAAGUCUGGUGCCAGCAGCCGCGGUAAUUCCAGCUCCAAUAGCGUAUAUUAACGUUGUUGCAGUUAAAAAGCUCGUAGUUGAAGUGUGGGUGAUCGCUGUUGUGAGACUUCGGUCUCUCGACAGUAAGUCACCCCCUUCCAGUAUCCAGUAGUGGGUAUUCAGUUACUUACUAUUGUGUGUUGGUCGUUUACUGUGAGAAAAUUAGAGUGUUCAAAGCAGGCGUUUGCUUGAAUAGAUUAGCAUGGAAUAAUAAUUGAAGGCUUUCGUGUUCGAUUUGAUUGGUUUGUUCAUGGAAGCAAGGUUAAAAGGAACAGUUGGGGGUAUUCAUAUUCACUAGUUAGAGGUGAAAUUCUCGGAUUUAUGGAAGAUGAACAAGUGCGAAAGCAA